This 253-nucleotide ribosomal RNA is filed under the name uncultured bacterium. RNAcentral describes it as "partial 16S ribosomal RNA". It matches the Rfam family "Bacterial small subunit ribosomal RNA", at positions 524 to 776 of the family's 1533-position model. The record is from RNAcentral.
UACGAAGGGGGCUAGCGUUGUUCGGAAUUACUGGGCGUAAAGCGCGCGCAGGCGGUCCUUCAAGUCAGAGGUGAAAGCCCAGAGCUUAACUCUGGAAUGGCCUUUGAGACUAGAGGACUUGGGUACGGGAGAGGUGAGUGGAAUUCCGAGUGUAGAGGUGAAAUUCGUAGAUAUUGGGAAGAACACCGGUGGCGAAGGCGGCUCACUGGCUCGUAACUGACGCUCAGGCGCGACAGCGUGGGGAUCAAACAGG